CCUACGGGAGGCAGCAGUGAGGAAUAUUGGUCAAUGGGCGCGAGCCUGAACCAGCCAUGUAGCGUGAAGGAUGACUGCCCUACGGGUUGUAAACUUCUUUUAUAAAGGAGUAAAGUGAGGCACGUGUGACUUUGUGAAUGUACUUUAUGAAUAAGGAUCGGCUAACUCCGUGCCAGCAGCCGCGGUAAUACGGAGGAUCCGAGCGUUAUCCGGAUUUAUUGGGUUUAAAGGGAGCGUAGAUGGGUGGUUAAGUCAGUUGUGAAAGUUUGCGGCUCAACCGUAAAAUUGCAUUUGAUACUGGCAGUCUUGAGUACAGUUGAGGUAGGCGGAAUUCGUGGUGUAGCGGUGAAAUGCUUAGAGAUCACGAAGAACUCCGAUUGCGAAGGCAGCUUACUAAACUGCCACUGACAUUGAUGCUCGAAAGUGUGGGGAUCAAACAGGAUUAGAUACCCCGGUAGUC
RNAcentral lists this ribosomal RNA (460 nucleotides) under uncultured bacterium. RNAcentral describes it as "partial 16S ribosomal RNA". It matches the Rfam family "Bacterial small subunit ribosomal RNA", at positions 338 to 795 of the family's 1533-position model. The record is from RNAcentral.